This 274-nucleotide ribosomal RNA is filed under the name uncultured bacterium. RNAcentral's name for it is "partial 16S ribosomal RNA". It matches the Rfam family "Bacterial small subunit ribosomal RNA", at positions 523 to 796 of the family's 1533-position model. The record is from RNAcentral.
AUACGGAGGGUGCAAGCGUUGUUCGGAAUUACUGGGCGUAAAGCGCGCGUAGGCGGCUGGGUAAGUCGGAUGUGAAAGCCCCGGGCUCAACCUGGGAACUGCGCUUGAAACGUGUGGGCUAGAGUCCGGGAGAGGAUGGUGGAAUUCCCAGUGUAGAGGUGAAAUUCGUAGAUAUUGGGAAGAACACCAGUUGCGAAGGCGGCUACCUGGACCGGUACUGACGCUGAGGUGCGAAAGCGUGGGGAGCAAACAGGAUUAGAAACCCCAGUAGUCC